UACGUAGGUGGCAAGCGUUUGUCCGGAUUUACUGGGCGUAAAGAGCGCGCAGGCGGUCGUGCAAGUCGCGUGUGAAAGCCCCCGGCUCAACUGGGGAGGGUCACGCGAUACUGCUCGACUCGAAGGCAGGAGAGGGAAGUGGAAUUCCCGGUGUAGUGGUGAAAUGCGUAGAUAUCGGGAGGAACACCAGUGGCGAAGGCGACUUCCUGGCCUGUUCUUGACGCUGAGGCGCGAAAGCUAGGGUAGCAAACGGGAU
RNAcentral lists this ribosomal RNA (256 nucleotides) under uncultured bacterium. Its description in RNAcentral is "partial 16S ribosomal RNA". It matches the Rfam family "Bacterial small subunit ribosomal RNA", at positions 524 to 778 of the family's 1533-position model. The record is from RNAcentral.